UUUUCAUUUGGUUGAAAUUUAGCAAAAUGAAAUAUUUAUUUUAUUCUCUCACCACCAAUAAAGCAUCAUCUUCUGCUGCCUACUUCUAGAAGACACUAAGACAUUAAAAUGAAGGUUCUCAUUUUGAUUGCUGUCAUCUUGACUUUCACUGCUUGUUUUUCGUCAGCUGAUGCACAUAAGCAAAAAAACUCCAGGUCUAGUGAAAGCUCCGAAGAAUAUUUUAAACUACCUAAACAAUUAAGGUCUAAGCUGUCAAGAAGAUAUUCUGCAAAAUUCCAACGAGCUCCUGGAAGUCCAUGUGGUCACUCUGUUCGUCAUGAACCCCCCAGAGGCCACCAUCCCCUCCACCUCCCUCACCAUCCUCACAUCCCACAUGAACCGUCACCCAGACCUACAUUGCCACCUGAGAACACUGUCUAUCCUAGUUCUCAAGCACCAUCAGCCCCUUUUAGGGCUCCUCCAACCAUAAUUUACACCACUGCCACUGUGCUGCCACCACCACUGCUUUCACUGUCUCUGCCCAAAACACUGAGAGUGUUGCAUCCAGCACUAACAGCUUCCAGUGCCCUCCAACCUGAGGACAUCACCAAUGCCCUUGAAGCUGACACUACUACCCCUGCCCCAGUAGCUGACACUACUACCCCUGCCCCAGUAGCUGACACUACUGCUGUCUAUCAGCAACAAGAGCCUCAGUGA
This 696-nucleotide long non-coding RNA is filed under the name Canis lupus familiaris (dog). RNAcentral's name for it is "lncRNA (ENSCAFG00000043847.2, ENSCAFG00805022003.1, ENSCAFG00845010630.1)". Lineage: Eukaryota; Metazoa; Chordata; Mammalia; Carnivora; Canidae. The record is from RNAcentral.